Molecule: ribosomal RNA, 427 nt
Filed under: uncultured bacterium
Lineage: Bacteria
Description: bacterial SSU rRNA
Rfam family: Bacterial small subunit ribosomal RNA
Source: RNAcentral
CAGGCCUAACACAUGCAAGUCGAACGAUGCUUUCGGGCAUAGUGGCGCACGGGUGCGUAACGCGUGGGAAUCUGCCCUUGGGUUCGGAAUAACCGUUAGAAAUGACGGCUAAUACCGGAUGAUGACGUAAUUCCAAAGAUUUAGCGCCCGAGGAUGAGCCCGCGAAGGAUUAGCGAGUUGGUGUGGUAAAGGCGCACCAAGGCGACGAGCCUUAGCUGGGAUGAGAGGAUGAGCAGCCACACUGGGACUGAGACACGGCCCAGAUACUGACGGGAGGCAGCAUUGGGGAUGAUUGGACAAUGGGCGAAAGCCUGAACCAGCAAUGCCGCGGGAGAGAUGAAGGCCUUGAAGGGUUUGAAAGCGAUUUUGAACCCGGGAAGAGAGAAAGACUAGGAACCGGGAGAAGAAGCCCCGGCGAACGCCGUGC